Long non-coding RNA from Mauremys mutica (yellowpond turtle), 1511 nucleotides. RefSeq lists it as uncharacterized. NCBI's taxonomy places the organism in Eukaryota, Metazoa, Chordata, Testudines, Geoemydidae. The transcript has 2 exons. The record is from RefSeq and is a predicted model, not a curated record.
CAAACUGCAAGACAAAAAGAAAAGAAAAAAUCAAAAUUAAAUAUUCAACCAACCAAAAUUCACGUUUGCCGUAUCAGAAUUAUUCCAUGGAUCAUACUGUGUUUGAAGAACCACCAGCCACUGUUAAUGGAUGCAUUACAUACAUGUGAUUCUAUGGUUCCACUGAUAUUAAUGAAGACCUGAAUAUGCCAUAAAGUCAAUAUGAUGGCAAGGUUUUCCCCUCCCAUUAAAUUGCUUUAAUGAUGCAGACUGAAAAGGAAGAGGGCACUAUGCGUACAACGCAGUGCAGCUCUCAGAGGGAAAAUGCUGUGGAGUCAUGCAGAAAGCAUCCUUGCUGAUACAUACAAUAGAAGGGAGAAAGGUGUUUUUGUCAAAGAUUUGUGGCAUGCGUGCACACACAAAAUGAAGAUUUGUAAAUUUUGUUUUUGACUGGAUUGCUCUUGACACAAAAAGGCUCCACUGUUGUGUGACGCAGUAAGAGGGGAGGGAUAGCUGAGUGGUUUGAGCAUUGGCUUGCUAAACCCCAGGUUGAGAGUUCACUCCUUGAGGGGGCCACUUAGGGAUCUGGGGCAAAUCAGUACUUGGUCCUGCUUGUGAAGGCAGGGGGCUGGAUUUGAUGACCUUUCAGGGUCUCUUCCAGCUUUAUGAGAUAGGUAUAUCUCCAUAUAUUAUAAGGAAGCCUCAGAGACAAAUAGGUGCCAAGUUGUGCAAGCCUUGGGUACCCACAAACAAAACUAUAUAAAAUCAGCCACCAUUCUGACCCCUGGAAUAUCAAGGCACAACCGGAUAUAUUGUGCUAAACCUUUCAUUAAGAAGUCAGAAUUUCUUGGCACAAUGGCUAUUACUGGCAACACACACACACUCAGAACACUAGUUGCUAGAAAGUUCCAGACUUGUGCACAUAGGUGCCUGGACCCCGGCAAUGGGAUCCAGAGAGACAAGGACUCAAAGAACUCUGAAUGCUGCCAGUUUGUGUUAGAUCUUCAGUGAUUUUACUAUAGAACUUGCUUCUGAAGUAGUAACAUACGCACUGAACUCUUUCUACAAUACUGUCCUGUCAUCAAACAUUCUGACUAUUAUGAGGUUUUGUUAUACUGAGGCAGAAAACAUCCAUCGUUGCCUAAGGGAGAAAAUGCCUUUGUUAUGGAACAACAUGUCUCUCUGACAGAUGCUUUGUCUUUGAGUUUAUCACAACAGAAUUCAAGAGAUACAGGAACGGAGACACUUUGGUCCACAGAGCUCUAUUGACUUCAGAGGUACUUUGCACCAGGAUCUACCCACACAGAUUUCUCUUCAGGAUUGAGACCCAAAUAUGUGAGAGCAAGAAUGUGAAACAAACUACUUAUGUUGUUACAGUUCUAACAAACGGGCAAAAGAGAACGUAUUCCAAGUCAAAAGGGGAUAUGCCCUCAUAUCUAGGAACUAUGGGGUUGUACCACCUUAUUGACUUAAUUAUUUAUCUGCUUUAGUCAGUUUGUAUUACAAUCCCAAUAAACACAAUUUUAAAUAAA